UACGUAGGCAGCGAGCGUUGUUCGGAAUUACUGGGCGUAAAGCGCACGUAGGCGGUUCGCUACGUGGGGUGUGAAAGCCCUGGGCUCAACCUGGGAACUGCAUUUCAGACUGGCGGACUAGAGUACGGUAGAGGGCGGUGGAAUUCCCUGUGUAGCGGUGAAAUGCGUAGAUAUAGGGAGGAACAUCAGUGGCGAAGGCGGCCGCCUGGAUCGAUACUGACGCUGAGGUGCGAAAGCGUGGGGAGCAAACAGG
RNAcentral lists this ribosomal RNA (253 nucleotides) under uncultured bacterium. RNAcentral describes it as "partial 16S ribosomal RNA". It matches the Rfam family "Bacterial small subunit ribosomal RNA", at positions 524 to 776 of the family's 1533-position model. The record is from RNAcentral.